GUCAGGUUGAGGAUUUAUCAUGAAUGAGUGUUAGAUUGGUUGAGAAUAUUGUACAAUAUUCUCUACCCUUUCAUAAGUAUUCAAUUAUCUGAUUUUAGCUCCUGAGAUCUCAGUCCUGCUGGUGGUGAGUGGAGCACCUUUCUUUCUCUCCUGACUACGAGGCUCUGGGUUUCUUUUGGGCUUUGCUCUCUGUCUUCCUGUCUGUUGGAUCCAGACUGACCAAGCAGCUGUCAUCUAUAGCCUUGCUGACUGUGAGAGAUGGUAUGGUAAAACAUCGUUUGGUGCUUAAGAUCUCAGUCCAGAAGUGACCCAAAAAAGAAUUUAUAUUGAAACAUAUUGUAGCAUUUCUGAAAUACCGAACACCCCGAACACCCCAAGGUGGUGCUAUUGAUACUUUAAGGUAACUAAAUUUACAUUGUAUGAUGUACCAU
This 431-nucleotide long non-coding RNA is filed under the name Macaca mulatta (Rhesus monkey). Its description in RNAcentral is "lncRNA (ENSMMUG00000059216.1)". The record is from RNAcentral. Lineage: Eukaryota; Metazoa; Chordata; Mammalia; Primates; Cercopithecidae.